Long non-coding RNA from Astyanax mexicanus (Mexican tetra), 264 nucleotides. RefSeq lists it as uncharacterized. The record is from RefSeq and is a predicted model, not a curated record. NCBI's taxonomy places the organism in Eukaryota, Metazoa, Chordata, Actinopteri, Characiformes, Acestrorhamphidae. The transcript is spliced from 4 exons.
AUUAUUAUUUUUUUUUUGUAGAGUUAUGUAAUAAUACAACGUUCAGCAACUAUCAAUGCAACGAAACACCAGGGGUCAAUUAUAUCCAAAAACCUCCAACUCCAUACGAACUGACUGCUGAAACAAGAAGCAGCAGUCCCAUUUACAUCACUGAUACUCCACCCAACAGCUCCACAAUUCCAGGGUGUGAUUCUCCUGCGUAUGCCAAUAACGGUAAUCAAUCUCCAUACAAUGUAAUCCUGAACUCUCCAUCCUACUCUCCAU